Molecule: ribosomal RNA, 543 nt
Filed under: uncultured bacterium
Lineage: Bacteria
Description: partial 16S ribosomal RNA
Rfam family: Bacterial small subunit ribosomal RNA
Source: RNAcentral
UGGGGAAUUUUGGACAAUGGGCGCAAGCCUGAUCCAGCCAUGCCGCGUGCGGGAAGAAGGCCUUCGGGUUGUAAACCGCUUUUGUCAGGGAAGAAAUCUUCUGAGUUAAUACCUCGGGAGGAUGACGGUACCUGAAGAAUAAGCACCGGCUAACUACGUGCCAGCAGCCGCGGUAAUACGUAGGGUGCAAGCGUUAAUCGGAAUUACUGGGCGUAAAGCGUGCGCAGGCGGUUUUGUAAGACAGAGGUGAAAUCCCCGGGCUCAACCUGGGAACUGCCUUUGUGACUGCAAGGCUUGAGUGCGGCAGAGGGGGAUGGAAUUCCGCGUGUAGCAGUGAAAUGCGUAGAUAUGCGGAGGAACACCGAUGGCGAAGGCAAUCCCCUGGGCCUGCACUGACGCUCAUGCACGAAAGCGUGGGGAGCAAACAGGAUUAGAUAGCCCUGGUAGUCCACGCCCUAAAACGAUGUCAACUGGUUGUUGGGAAGGUUCCUUCUCAGUAACGUAGCUAACGCGUGAAGUUGGCCGCCUGGGGAGUACGGCCGC